GUGCCUGUUGCGCAGUGGUCAGCGCAGCUCCCCGGGAGCAUGGGACACUGGUUCGAUUCCAGCCGGGCACACCA
Molecule: transfer RNA, 74 nt
Filed under: Caudoviricetes sp.
Lineage: Duplodnaviria; Heunggongvirae; Uroviricota; Caudoviricetes
Description: tRNA-OTHER
Rfam family: tRNA
About the family: Transfer RNA (tRNA) molecules are approximately 80 nucleotides in length.
Source: RNAcentral